Molecule: long non-coding RNA, 3155 nt
Organism: Falco peregrinus (peregrine falcon)
Lineage: Eukaryota; Metazoa; Chordata; Aves; Falconiformes; Falconidae
Exons: 3
Source: RefSeq, a predicted model, not a curated record
AUCUACCGUUCCACACUGUCCCUCCAAGCCAAGGUUUCAGAAGUACUUGAAAAGGCUGCCUCCAAUUAAUGGUUUUGGGAAGUUUAGUAGGUGGGUGUUGAGACUUGCCCAUCUGCAGGGCUCCAUCUGUCCUCCAUCCAGCCAAUAGCAGCAGUAGCUCCCAAGGGCAAUUCCCAGCCUCUAUGUAGUUCCCACUGAACUAGCAACAAACGACACUGAAAUUACAGGUCUUGGUCACGCACACGUAGAUCAAAUGGGAGGUAAGGCGAGCACACUAAGCAAAAACCACACUGAGACAACCCAAACUGACAGGCCACCUAGUGAAUCAUGCUACCCCAGAGCCAAUGGCAAAAAUUCUUAUUUCCUUUCCUCUGUAGCAGGAAGUGCAGAGUAUUUCCUGUCCGUCUUGGGUUUCUGUCUCAUGGGUUUUCCAGUGAAGGUCACCAUUUUGAGGGGAUGGGGAAAUUUCAGAGUUACAAAUCUCAUUUAGAAGCCUUUGGAAGAGAGGCCUGUAUGAGACUGGACCACCAAGCCAGCUGGGAACAGACAGGCUCACAGACGAUGCAGGCAUGGCAUGAGCCCAGUUAUUCAGGGAUACCCUGAUCCGACUUGUUCACUUUCAAAACCUACGUUGGCUUGUAGCAGUAGCAAGACCUUUCCUGUGCCCAUCCUUCUUCCCAGCAGUAAAUGAAAUGUCAUGGUGGACAGAUGCAAAGCUUAACUGUUUACAAUUAUCUUCGCUCAGAUCACUAUACCAUCAGCAACCACAGAACACUGUGAUGGACAAAAACCAAAGGGAGGGGUAUACUAGUCAAGGCUCUGUGCAAGCAAGUUUCCCAGCACUAUUUCAAGCACCAAGUUUGAGACAUUCUACUUAAAAGGUUCUGCUCCUUCCACCAGCAUUACAAAUUGUAACGCCUUCUUCUGAAUACACUUGGGCAAAGUAUUUAACAUUACUACUACUGUAGAAUUUCUGGACACAAACAGCCAUCACUCCCUGAACAAAUUGAAAUUACUGCAUGAAAACAUGAACUAGACUAGAUACAUGCUGCUAAAAAGUUUCCUUGCAUCGGCAAAAGGCAACAGAAAUAAAAUGACAGUAAUACAAGCAAAUAAAAAUAAUAAUGUGCAACAAUAAAACCACUUAGGGAUCUUUGUACUUCCCUUCAGUUUAAUAAUCUCAACAACAUCUAAAGAAUACUAGAAGGGUUCAGUGUUUAUUUGACAAAUAGGCAACUGUUAAUUUUUAAAUUUGAUCCACUAAGAAAAACAAAUAGCAAUCUGUGUUUAAAACAAUUUUCAGCACUACUUUUCCUUGAGUCCACCAGAUAAUUUCUGCAAUUUUACACAUAAUUUUCUUCACUUUUGAAUAGUUUUCUCUCCCUAGUUAUUCCUCUAGAUCUUGAUCCCCCACUGACCAAGUUUUAGAGGACCCUGGCCUCCAGGAUGUUAGUACAAAUUCCUGUUCCUUUUAUGUAACCCUCUAGCAGUGGAGAGAGAGACUGCACAUACAAUAUACCCUUUGUGCUAUCAGAUGGUGUACACAAGAGGCUCCUUUAUUCAUGAAAAUCAGAGUCCAUAACUAACUAACUGGCUCUUCAGAAGAAGUGAAACCAUGUUCACAACAAACACCAUCAAAUAUAUAUACUACAACAAGAAAAGAAAAACUGACUAUCACUUGUUUUCUACCACAGUAUCUUAGAUAGAACUUUUUAACUGCACUGCAGUCUCCUAAAUGUGAAUGUUUGGAAACACUGGAACAUCUAGAACAUUUUUUAAAUUCAAGCACUCCCACAAGGCUCAUUGGAAGACUUCAGGAAAUUGCCUUGUACUUAACAAUAUCUGGAAAACAUAAACCACACUACUGCAAGGCAGUUUCUCUCCUCUGCUGCAUGUCCUGCAACACGACAUCAGAACCGAAAACAAGUGCUGACAAGACAAGAGUCCAUGUUUUACCCUGAGUUUAAUCCCAGCUUGCCUCCAUCGGCAGUGCAGUCAGAGAUGGAUAAAAUCAAACACUGUGACAAACACAGCAUUAAAGAGGCAAAGAAAGGCCUGGUACUCUCCCUGCUUGUUUAUACUGGAAAAUAAACUCUGUUUCAAGUGAGAGGCUGAACCGGGAGCUUGACACCUACAGCUGACCAACCCCAUACGCCAAGCAAACAUUUGCACAGGCAAAAAUCAGCAGAAGCUGGGUGCAGUGACCCGGGCAGAAAACACCAGGGCCCCGAGCUGCUGAACAGGCAGCAGCCACCGAUUCAUCAGGUUCCAAAACAACAUGACACAGCCCCUCCACAGCCCAACUCACCACCGCAGGACCUCUGCCCAAAGGAAAUCCAGAGCCUAAAGUUCAUCAAGCUCUCUGCACAGACAGCUGAAGUGAAUGUGAAAGUCAGGAGUGAUAAAUCCAGUACACAGCAGAUUUCCCCUUUCUGUCCUUGCCAGUUGACGAAAGGAAAAUCUUCCCACAGUGAAAGACGUAGCCAUUGCACCUUUCCCGGGAUGGUGUCCUCAGCAUUCCUCCUGUCUCCUGCCCUCUGAAGAAUCUGAAAUUGUGCAAUCUGGCUCCUCCUCUCCUGUUUGCUGCAGGGUGCAGCUGUUGCACCACUGUUCACACUGACUGCAGGCUGCCUGGCGCAUGGUACCUCUGCACUGUGCUUCCAGUGCAGAUGAGACCUCGAUGAAGGAUCUCGCUGCUGACCUGCCCUCGGAGGUGGCUUAUCAUUCUCAGGGUAACAGAGGUUUGCACUGCGUGCUCAGUUAUAACCAAUCUAUGCAAUGCAGCAUGCUAUGCCAUGUCGCCUGGUGCUGGCUCCAUGUAAUUGCAGAUGGAGGUUCCAGCCUACAAAGCAUCAGACCUCCUGGAUCAGGACUAAGUAUGUGCUUUGAUGCUGUGUUUGUACCCGCUGGGAAGCCCUCCAUCAGGUCAGUGAUGGUAAGGAGUGCCUUGUGGGAAGCUAAGGCACUUGGAUCUUCUCCUUUUGCUUCCAAUUCAGUAAAAAACUCCUGGAAUCAAAACCUGUAUUUUUGAUGUAUUGUAUUUUAUCUCCCCUCUUUCUACUCUAUAAAUAAGAAGUGCUGUGCAUGGAUUUUCAGUUAAGACAUGUGCAAAGGAGAUGAAAAAUGGAUGUGAUUGAAUGAACAGGCUAAGAACA